Molecule: long non-coding RNA, 469 nt
Filed under: Ananas comosus (pineapple)
Lineage: Eukaryota; Viridiplantae; Streptophyta; Magnoliopsida; Poales; Bromeliaceae
Description: long non-coding RNA (ACOM_LNC006651)
Source: RNAcentral
CGGCUCCGUUAAACUUGAUCUAAAGUAUUUGGAGUACCUAGAAAAUAAAUUUUAUUAUUUUCGAUAUCAUUUGCCUAGUGAUCGAAUGUGCUCAAAAUCAACAAAUUUCAAUGGCUGUAGUGAGCCGUUUGCAAGUUUAACGGUGUAGAAAUAUCCAAAUCACGUGAAAUUUUGAUAGAAAAUUCUUUAUACUAUAUAAAACAAGAUCAAUAUCUUUGAUUUAAAAUUUUAAUGUCAUAUUAUUACAUUUUAUAAGAUUUUUAUUUUCAGCCGUUGAUUUUGAACCCCUUCGUUCAUUAGGCAAAUGAUAUCGUAAAAUCAUAAAAUUUAUUUUCUAGCUAAUUCAAAUACUCUAGAUCAAGUUUAACGGAGCCGAUCGACGAUUUGAAAGCCGUAACAUCGAAAACGAGCUGGAAGCACGGAAGGCUCCGUGCUUCCGAUAGCUUAGUAGCCUCACUCUCUCUAUAUA